Molecule: ribosomal RNA, 151 nt
Filed under: uncultured crenarchaeote
Lineage: Archaea; Thermoproteati; Thermoproteota
Description: 16S ribosomal RNA
Rfam family: Archaeal small subunit ribosomal RNA
Source: RNAcentral
CCCUACGGGGUGCACCAGGCGCGAAACCUUCGCAAUGCGCGAAAGCGCGACGAGGUUAUUCCGAGUGAUUUCCGCUGAGGAAAUCUUUUCCCAGAUCUAAAACGUCUGGGGAAUAAGGGGAGGGCAAGUCUGGUGUCAGCAGCCGCGGUAA